AAUCUGCUCAACGUCCUGUUGGGUCACGUGCUCACGCCAGAACUUGGCACACGCGGGCUGAGCCUGUAUCGCGUGUUCGCCAGGCCUCCUGCUGGUCCGCCCCAAACCAUACGGCCGAAGACGAGGGGAGGAAAAGGGGGUGUUAUAACCAGGAAAAAAGGGACCGGUAGCUGAGUAGGGGGAGACCACAGACCUCACCCCCAGAGACCCAUUGGGUCGUUUGAGAAUCAAGGACAGUCAGUUGCAGAGUGUGGAGGGCAAAGCUCGGCACCUGACGCGCACCUGGGGCUCGUCUAAGCCAGCGACCCCCACGCCCCCACGGGGUCCGCGGAUGUGCCGCCCUAAGCCUGCCGCUUCGGUUCCCCUUUUUCGGGGCUUUCUUUUUUCUUCCGCUAGAUUUUUGCAUUUUUCUGAAGUCUCGGACUUUGUUUUUUUAUAUAUAUACAGAAAAUAAAAUGGGGAAAAAAUUUUUUUUAAGCUGCAAGUCGGAGCUCCCAGUGCCUGCUGCCUUCCCCGACCCUCGCAUCAGCUUUGCGAGAGUGCUCGCUCCCCAGACGGCAGAGGCAGCCAUCGGGUCGGGGGCCAGGCCUCGGCAGCGGCAGGCGACGGUGAUGGGGGGGCAGCCGGCCCCAUUAAGUCAGCACAACCCGCCCGGGCGUGGGCGAGCAGAGUCCUCGGACUUGGCCCUCGUCAAGGGAACCGUGCAAGCAGCCGGCUAAAUUCUACGGCCUCGUGGCUCAAACACAGGCUCAUCACAGGCUCUCCUAAGGUCUAGCUGGGGCUUCCUGGCAUUAUGUUUUCAUCCGGGACACGCUUAUUGAGUACCUGCUACCUGCCAGGCACCGUCCUAGGCACGGGGGACACAGCAGUGAACGGAGAAGCCCAAACCCCUGGCUUGGUGGAGCGGACAUUCUAGCAGGGAUAACUAAUUGUAAAGGUAACGAUUAGACAACUGACUUUGAGGAAAGCUAGCCACCAUGUCAUGAAGACACUCAAGCAGCUCUAGGGAGUGGUCCACACGUGCGGAACUGAGGCCUCCUGCCAACGGCCGUGUUGAGUGCGCCAUCUUGGAAGCAGAUCCUCCAGUCCCAGUUGAGCUUUCAGAAGACAGCAGACCCCACCAACACCUUGACUGCAACCCACAAGAGACCCUGAGCCAAAACCAUUCAUCUAAGCCACUCCCAGAUUCCCGGCUCUUGGAAAUCGAGUGAGAUAACAAAUGUUCAUUAUGUUAAGCUGCAAUCCCAGUUUCUGGAAUCGACCCUGAAGAUACACUUCCAAUGAUACUACACAGAUAUACUGUCUUUGAAAAGCCUCAGCACAAAGGCCCUGUGCUUACAUGACCUGGUAGGUGGAGCACCCCCACCCUGAUGCCUCCUUUCCGGACUUGGAGAUGCCCCCGGGGACGAUGCGAACCCUGCCCGGCCGCCACUCGCUGCCUGCCCUUGGUCAGAGAAAGCGGGCCCACUCCUGCACGGCCAGGGACCAGCCUCAACGCCUCCCCCGUCGGGGCUAUGGAGGGGGCAGGCGUCCACUCUCUCCCCACUCCCUGGGGCUCCUCCAGUUGGACCCCUACAGAGCCAGGCAGAGGUUUGGCUGACGGGCAGUGGGUCACCGGUGGGCGGAGACCCUCCCUAACAUUCCUGGCCUCCUCCAAGCCUCUGAACUGUCUUAGAGAUCGAGAGAAAAGGUCAAUGCCUGACCUUGGGGAGAGCCCCCCUCUUGCCCUGCCCUUCCUUCGUGGAUUGCACCCCUGCCCUUUGCUUCCCGUGGCUCCCUCUCUGCCGGUCUCCCGUGUGCCUGUCCCCCACCUGGAAGGCGCCUUCCUACUUUUGCGCCACCCAACGCUGACUGUGUCCACAAGAUUCUUGGGGGGCCUCGAGCCACAUCCCGCCCUGAGCCUCGGUCUCUUCCUGUGAUGAAGCAGGAGCACAGAGUGCGGGUGAGCAUGAGAGAGGGUGCCUGUCUCUCGCGCGUCACUGGGCGGCCAGGCGGUGCCUCAGGACAGAGUGUGACACACGUGCAGCCAAGUUGAAGGCAGUAAGUACCACCCAGGGAAGAGACCGGUGCACGACGGAGACCACGGAGAACACACACACACACACACACACACACACACACACACACACUGAGCUCAGAUGGUCAGGUGGGGCGGGGUUUACUCGCAGCGAGGUUGGAGAGGACAGAUGCACAAGCACCAGCCCCUUGCGGUGCCUCAGUCCCCCAUGGGCUGCCCGCACCCCACUUCCUGCUGCAGUGGAAGGGCCCCAACCCAUCCCGUGUAGGGUCUGAAAUACAGACGGCGGCGGGCACGCUUGAGGGCCACUGACCCGCACGCUCGAGCAGAACGAAGGAACACACACUGGGUCUGAAAUAGGUAAAGGUCCCCCCAUGCGAGGCGAUCAUCCCUUCACAGCCUGCGCGGGCUCCCUACCUCCUGAGAAAGAAGGGUUCCAGGCCAGGGUCCAUCCUUAUGUGACCAAGCAGGGACCAAACGGCUGCCUUUCCCAGCACAGCUCGUUAAGUGGCAUCUGUUAUUGUACCUCCAGGCUUUCUCCCCUUUCCCUCCGGGGGCCAUACCUCCACUCACCAUGAUUUCACAGGCUGUGAAUCCCUGACCCGCCCCAUCCACCCAUACGCUAAGGGGGCGGGGUAUCCUGCAGAGCAGAUCACCGUUCCCACCCAUCUCGGGACACUGAACCCUCUGGUGUUUCAGGGUAUCCACCUAUAAUGUGGAGCCCCACGCCACAUCCGUGGGCCGUGGACCUCCUCUUCGAACAGCGGCUGCCCCUCCCCUCACAACCUGUGCCAUUUUACGGGAUCGUUACCUUGUGGCAACGGAGACAAGUGGCAGCUACAUCCCCGGUCUCUAUGGCUCCGUCCAUAUCAUGAAGCUCCAAGAUCUUAACGUCCCUGUGGUGCAACUUUUAACUUCUUCUUAACUAAGAAUUAGCUCAGAGGUAAUUGCUUAAAUCGCACCGAUGAAAAUCAAUACGGAGUAAAUUAAACGAAAAGCAAAAUUUA
Molecule: long non-coding RNA, 3024 nt
Organism: Leopardus geoffroyi (Geoffroy's cat)
Lineage: Eukaryota; Metazoa; Chordata; Mammalia; Carnivora; Felidae
Exons: 4
Source: RefSeq, a predicted model, not a curated record